AAAGACUGACGCUCAGGUGCGAAAGCGUGGGGAGCAAACAGGAUUAGAUACCCUGGUAGUCCACGCCGUAAACGAUGUCGACUUGGGAGGUUGUUCCCUUGAGGAGUGGCUUCCGGAGCUAACGCGUUAAGUCGACCGCCUGGGGAGUACGGCCGCAAGGUUAAAACUCAAAUGAAUUGACGGGGCCCGCACAAGCGGUGGAGCAUGUGGUUUAAUUCGAUGCAACGCGAAGAACCUUACCUACUCUUGACAUCCAGAGAACUUAGCAGAGAUGCUUUGGUGCCUUCGGGAACUCUGAGACAGGUGCUGCAUGGCUGUCGUCAGCUCGUGUUGUGAAAUGUUGGGUUAAGUCCCGCAACGAGCGCAACCCUUAUCCUUUGUUGCCAGCGGUUAGGCCGGGAACUCAAAGGAGACUGCCAGUGAUAAACUGGAGGAAGGUGGGAUGACGUCAAGUCAUCAUGGCCCUUACGAGUAGGGCUACACACGUGCUACAAUGGCGCAUACAAAGAGAAGCGACCUCGCGAGAGCAAGCGGACCUCAUAAAGUGCGUCGUAGUCCGGAUUGGAGUCUGCAACUCGACUCCAUGAAGUCGGAAUCGCUAGUAAUCGUAGAUCAGAAUGCUACGGUGAAUACGUUCCCGGGCCUUGUACACACCGCCCGUCACACCAUGGGAGUGGGUUGCAAAGAAGUAGGUAGCUUAACCUUCGGGAGGGCGCUUACCACUUUGUGAUUCAUGACUGGGGUGAAGUCGUAACAAGGUAACCGUAGGGGAACCUGCGGUUGGAUCACCU
This 791-nucleotide ribosomal RNA is filed under the name Leclercia adecarboxylata. Its description in RNAcentral is "bacterial SSU rRNA". It matches the Rfam family "Bacterial small subunit ribosomal RNA", at positions 735 to 1528 of the family's 1533-position model. The record is from RNAcentral. Lineage: Bacteria; Pseudomonadati; Pseudomonadota; Gammaproteobacteria; Enterobacterales; Enterobacteriaceae.